UGGCAAGUACAUAGGUCUGGAUUUGGUGGCUUCGGCUCACACAUAUGGAGCAGGAUGGGGUGACAAAGUAGGGUGGGGUGAAGAUUCCUGUCCGGCGACUUUCGCGUGUUGUGGCUAGCAGCGCUCCACUUCUUUCUCCCCCUGGUUUGUAAUUUCAGAUUGCCGACUACCUUUCAUUGGUGUAUAUGCAAGCUACCGAGACUAUUCUUGACUAGAAUAUGUAUAUGAAUGUGAGCAACAGAGUUCUUUACUCCUAGAAAAUGCACGCGCCAAUGAAAUUCAGGUAUCCCUUGAUAAGUCUCUUAGCAUUUUGCUUUCAUUCGUAGGAUUAAAAUUUGCCAUCAAACAAACAAAUAGUUGUGUUGCUAAGUUUAUUCUGUAAUUUGCAUGCUUUGCAUAGGCUUGGUUUGUUCUGACAGUAGUAUAUUUUUGGAGUUAAAUAUGUUGUGUUUCUAACUGGUUAACACUUUGAGUAGGACACAGAGGAAAUACUUAUAGUUAAAUUUACCCUUCCUGUUAUUCACUUCUGUAUUGGCCAUGAUUUUGAAUUACUUGUGAAACUGCCAUCUCAAAGUGAAUUUUUUUGCUUCACAUGUCUGUGGGGAAAAAAUCCCAUAAAAAGCACAAGAUUUAAAUUACUAUAUUUACUACUUGGACCGUUCUCAUCUUCACUCUACAUAAUGACGCGAUAGUUGGAAAAUAGUUCAAGUGUUUUCUACUUCACCUCCCAUGUUUUCCUCUCCAAAAUCUGGUGUGGGUUUAGGGUUAUAAGAUUUGGGUAGCAUAUAAAAUCAUGUAGAAUUAGUUGUUUU
Molecule: long non-coding RNA, 812 nt
Organism: Triticum dicoccoides
Lineage: Eukaryota; Viridiplantae; Streptophyta; Magnoliopsida; Poales; Poaceae
Exons: 3
Source: RefSeq, a predicted model, not a curated record